Molecule: ribosomal RNA, 355 nt
Filed under: uncultured bacterium
Lineage: Bacteria
Description: bacterial SSU rRNA
Rfam family: Bacterial small subunit ribosomal RNA
Source: RNAcentral
GGAGGAUGCGAGCGUUAUCCGGAUUUAUUGGGUUUAAAGGGUGCGUAGGUGGUGAUUUAAGUCAGCGGUGAAAGUUUGUGGCUCAACCAUAAAAUUGCCGUUGAAACUGGGUUACUUGAGUGUGUUUGAGGUAGGCGGAAUGCGUGGUGUAGCGGUGAAAUGCAUAGAUAUCACGCAGAACUCCGAUUGCGAAGGCAGCUCACUGGAGCGCAACUGACGCCGAAGCACGAAAGCGUGGGGAUCAAACAGGAUUAGAUACCCUGGUAGUCCACGCCGUAAACGAUGACUGCUAGGUGUCGGGUGGCAAAGCCAUUCGGUGCCGCAGCUAACGCAAUAAGCAGUCCACCUGGGGAGU